RNAcentral lists this unclassified non-coding RNA (263 nucleotides) under plant metagenome. Its description in RNAcentral is "partial contains small subunit ribosomal RNA, internal transcribed spacer 1, and 5.8S ribosomal RNA". The record is from RNAcentral.
UUUCCGUGGGUGAACCUGCGGAAGGAUCAUUAUUGUAUAACCGAGGUGCGAGGGCUGUCGCUGACCCGAAAGGUCGUGCACGCCCGAGUGCCCGCACACACAUCCAUCUCACCCCUAUGUGCACCACCGCGUGGGUCCCCCUUUGGCUUGUUCGGAGGGGGGCUUACGUUUUCACACAAACUUUGUAUGCAGUGUAGAAUGUAUUUUUUGUUUUUGCGAUCACGCAAUCAAUACAACUUUCAACAACGGAUCUCUUGGCUCUC